Molecule: ribosomal RNA, 117 nt
Filed under: Marmota marmota marmota (Alpine marmot)
Lineage: Eukaryota; Metazoa; Chordata; Mammalia; Rodentia; Sciuridae
Source: RNAcentral
GUCUACGGCCAUACCACCCUGAACGCGCCCGAUCUCGUCUGAUCUCGGAAGCUAAGCAGGGUCGGGCCUGGUUAGUACUUGGAUGGGAGACCAAAUUAACUUUUCCUCCUCUAAGUG